GGAGUUGUGGCUCAGUGAUAGAGUGCUUACCUGGCAGGUGUGAGGCCCUGAGUUCAAUCCUCAGCACCA
Molecule: transfer RNA, 69 nt
Filed under: Marmota monax (woodchuck)
Lineage: Eukaryota; Metazoa; Chordata; Mammalia; Rodentia; Sciuridae
Rfam family: tRNA
About the family: Transfer RNA (tRNA) molecules are approximately 80 nucleotides in length.
Source: Rfam by way of RNAcentral